Molecule: ribosomal RNA, 695 nt
Filed under: uncultured Gilliamella sp.
Lineage: Bacteria; Pseudomonadati; Pseudomonadota; Gammaproteobacteria; Orbales; Orbaceae
Description: bacterial SSU rRNA
Rfam family: Bacterial small subunit ribosomal RNA
Source: RNAcentral
UAGAAUUCCACGUGUAGCGGUGAAAUGCGUAGAGAUGUGGAGGAAUACCGGUGGCGAAGGCGGCCUUCUGGACAGAUACUGACGCUGAGAUGCGAAAGCGUGGGGAGCAAACAGGAUUAGAUACCCUGGUAGUCCACGCUGUAAACGAUGUCGAUUUGGAGUUUGUUGCCUAGAGUGAUGGGCACCGAAGCUAACGCGAUAAAUCGACCGCCUGGGGAGUACGGCCGCAAGGUUAAAACUCAAAUGAAUUGACGGGGGCCCGCACAAGCGGUGGAGCAUGUGGUUUAAUUCGAUGCAACGCGAAGAACCUUACCUGGUCUUGACAUCCACAGAAUCUUGCAGAGAUGCGAGAGUGCCUUCGGGAACUGUGAGACAGGUGCUGCAUGGCUGUCGUCAGCUCGUGUUGUGAAAUGUUGGGUUAAGUCCCGCAACGAGCGCAACCCUUAUCCUUUGUUGCCAGCGAUUCGGUCGGGAACUCAAAGGAGACUGCCGUUGAUAAAGCGGAGGAAGGUGGGGACGACGUCAAGUCAUCAUGGCCCUUACGACCAGGGCUACACACGUGCUACAAUGGCGUAUACAAAGGGAGGCGACCUCGCGAGAGCAAGCGGACCUCAUAAAGUACGUCUAAGUCCGGAUUGGAGUCUGCAACUCGACUCCAUGAAGUCGGAAUCGCUAGUAAUCGUGAAUCAGAAUGU